CAUCGCGAAGUGCUCUGUUAUUGGCUUCGAUAAACAGUUUAAACCCGUAACCAGCGAGCGAUUCUUUACGAUCACCCACGCCUCGAAACUGCGCGUCAUUACGGCCCACGUGAAAACAUCGCACGCGCGAAUUAUAAAUAGGAUCGUUUCAUCGCGUAGCCAGGAAACUCUCAAAAACGAUGCUAUAACCGCGACGUGGAUAUAAAGGGAGACUGUAUCCUUUGUCCGAUCCUCUUCUCGCUAAAAUAACGAACCGACGGCCGCGGCUCUCUAUUUCGAGUGACCCAAAUCGCGAGGAAUAUCUCUCAAGAUAAAUCGCAAGAAUAACAGUAGCAGGAUAUAUACGGAAUUUCGAAAUUCUAUUAAAAUCGAAACGACAACGUUCCGAGCUCCAACAAAAACAGAGGAAAGAAAAAAGGGAAUCGUGUGGAAUCACGGCGAUCGCACGUGCGACGCAUUCCGUCGUUUCAUUUAGCGGAGGCGAAUUUUGUUGCGUUGAAACGUUGUUUGUUAUCGUAUUCAGGGAAUGAACACGUGUGGGUAUUUGCUACAAAGGUGAUGAUAACAAAAUUUAAUGUGCCAGUUAGAAUCAUCUGGUCACCGGCGAAGACAGCGUGAUACACUUCCGAAUGUUUAAUUGAAGAGUCAGCAACAGCGUAAUCGGGACUGGUUAUAAGCGCAGCCGGAAAGUUUGCCGGAGCGGCGGCGGCGGCGGCGGCGGCGUGGCGGUACGGCCGCACGUUUAGUCCGAUAUGCCGUCGGGAUAAAGGGAGAGAAAUACGGAAAGACAGAGAGAAUAGUUGGCAGAAGCUGGAGCACGCCGGUAAAACGGCCCGUUACUCGCACUAACGAGUAAACCAGCAGUUGCUCGUCGGACUUUGCCGGUAUUAUGCUACACGAGCAAAUAAACCGGCGUGUUCGGCUAACUCCCCUGGUUUCUGGUAAGCCCCUAUACACUACUGGCUCCGCUGGCUGUAAAGCCCCGGCUAACGUCCGCGUGAUUGCAAUAUUCCGCGGCUUGUGGAGUGCGCCGGAUGUACGAGCGUUCACGUUACACGUUCCUGUGUUUUCCGCGUCGGUGUGCACACCAGAGGCGAUUGCGAUUGUGUGCUCUCUCCCUCGUCAGCAUUAAGGCACCGCGAUGCGACCAUGUACGACUCAUUGUUCGUCGCGAUUCGUCCGUGGUACAAGUUAAAUUUAAUCAAGUCGCCAACUGAGUAAAUACAAACGAGGCCCUGGAUGCUUCUCGGGAUAAAGAACAAGUGCAAGCAAGAUCGCGUUCAAUGAAAAUUUCUCUGGGAAAGUGAUUGAACUGAGAAUUAUGUACAAUGUUAGCAUCAUUGCAUUGAUAAAUAAAGAAUUUAGCUAAAGAUAAUGCUUCAAUACAAAAUAUUACAUACCUAAAAGAUUCGUCAAGCUCAGCACUUAUUAGUUCCAACAUAUAACUUUACAGCGAUUUAACCGAAAUUAAUUGUGUGACAAAAUGUAUGAGCGAAUGAUUGAGAGUGCUUAUUGUGACAGCUUCAAGAAUGAUUUAAAUUCUAUAUGAUGAAAAUUGAGAUGGAUUGCUGUCAUGAUUCGAAUGAACUGUUGUCGAGGAAAAGUAUGGCUAAGUUGGACGAUUAUCAAAACGACAGCGUAGUGGAAUCGAUGUUUAGCAACUUUGGAAGAUUGUCAAUUCGUGUUGGUUGUGCCGCCAUCGAAAAGGAGAAAGGGUUGUUACUGGCAUCGGGUGAACAGAGGCUAAAAAGAGAGGUAGAUGGACGGAGAGAGAAACACGGAUAUACCCAGCCCCGCCACCUCCCGAUGAAAUUUUAUGGGCUUUGCGUUUUCCGACGGGUGGUGCAGUCGCGUUUUCAUUGCAAUCUCGAUUCACCCCUUAGGCCGACGUCACACUAGCAAAUAAAUCAUAAAAUAUAUUUAAGAAGCAAAAUUUGAAAGCAUGUUGUUAAAGUAAUUGCCUUAUUUAUUUGUCCUCUUUCUUCCUUUUCGAGAUUAAGGAGUUUCUCUAUAUAUUGUUUUAUAUUACUAAUCCUAGUGUAAUUCUAUGUGGAACUGGCUUUAUACAAUGAGAUGAGAUACACAUGUAUAAGUGGCAUGCUUUCGCAAAUAGUCAGCUGAAAAAGCGCAGAGUACAGGCAACGAUUCGCGUAAUGGUAGCUACAUCCAUGAAUAACCUUCGGAGCUGAAUGCGUUAGUAAAACGAGUUAUCGGCACGAAAGUUACAACUGUUGCGAACGCGGUUUGAGCUGCGACAAUGGAUCAACGCGUAUGACGCGACCCGACGACGACAUGACGUGAGCCUCGACGUGAAAAUAAUUGCUGGCCCUGUACGAUCAUGGAUUAAUCCUUUGACGAUAGUCACCGUACGACAGAAAUGUAAUAAGGUGUUAAAUAUAAUGAAAAUUUUAUUAUGUAAGUUGAACGGACAAUCUGUUUCUAAAUUACUGGAAAAUUUGGGACAAUACUUCAUCUCUAUUAAUAUUUUAAUUAUUUUUACAAAAGACGAGAAGCUUUAUUAUUAGCGAUUAAUUCUAUUCUCUUCAGAUCUAAUAAGUUAAUGUAAAAAUGUAGACCAAAUUCUCGUUAAUCUCAAUGGAAUAAAAUAGUCUUUCAAAGGGUUUGACGGGAACUUUAAAAAAAAUUCAUUCAACAUUUCAAUUUCACACAUAAAUCGCUUCUCUUCAAGUACCUACUAGUUAUCCACGUAUUAAAAAAAGAAAAGAACCGAGAGAGAUCGCUGACUGAUUACACGUAUAGCACUAGAGCAGUCUGAGAGGUUAAGCUUUGAAGACAGAGGGUAAUCGAGAACGUCGAGAAGAGGAUCGGCCAUUAUGUGUGAAUGUUCGAGGGUAAACAGGCUGCAAUCAAUUCAGGGGUUCAUCGUGGCUGCUCGUCGACGAAAGGGAUGACUUCGAGUGGC
Ceratina calcarata is the source of this 2923-nucleotide long non-coding RNA. RefSeq lists it as uncharacterized. The record is from RefSeq and is a predicted model, not a curated record. Lineage: Eukaryota; Metazoa; Arthropoda; Insecta; Hymenoptera; Apidae. The transcript is spliced from 3 exons.